Styela clava is the source of this 1026-nucleotide non-coding RNA. The record is from RefSeq and is a predicted model, not a curated record. Lineage: Eukaryota; Metazoa; Chordata; Ascidiacea; Stolidobranchia; Styelidae.
GCGGGCCGCACCUACACUCUUAACAGAAAAAGAGGAUAUUUGCCAUUUCCACCCCCUCCAUUUGGGUGUGGUGAUGAAUUUUCCGUCUUAUUUCGUUGCAUAAUUUUAUAUACACCGUGCUAAUGCAUUCACAGGGUGUGUUACCAAACAUUUUCUCCACUAAACUUGGUGGAAAUGCAUGAACGCGUCAUGUCACGUGAUAUCGAGGUGACUGUGACGAUGUGAGAAGGCUGAACGCUAUUGGCUGAAAUCGUUUCGAAUAUUUUUAUGCGCGGUGACUUGACUUAUCACUCUGCCGAGGCUUCGAUGAAACUCUGUGCAUAACAGACUGUCUGCGGUAAACAACUCCAAUUUUCAAUAGAUAGAAUAAGUGGGUGGGCACAGUUUGUGUUGAACUUGUCUCAAGCUACAAUAUGUGGAAAACUUACAUCGUGUGGAGAGGUCUGGAGGUUUAAGCUUGCUGGUACAGGAUGUUGAUUUUCUUGAAAAUGAAGAUGAUCACUGUAUUGGGACUUACAAGUAGAUAAUAGCAGAGGAACUAAAUGAGAGAAAUAUAGCAGAUGAGCAGUGCUGCAGUGAACAACUCAUAGGAUGUUGAUUUUCUUGAAAAUGAAGAUGAUCACAGUAUUGGAACUCACAAGUAGCUAAUAGCAGAGAAACCAAAUGGGAGAAAUAUAGCAGAUGAGCAGUGAACAACUGAUAGAUUGUAAGUCCAAUCCAAUGAUGAACUCUGGAUCAUCACUAGAUCACAGUUCGAAUGGAAGCUUUAAUUACACAAAAGCAAUGGCAGUGGCCAGUGAUGGACUCUUUGUUACAGGAUUUUCAAUCUACAAAUACCAUUAGGUAGCAGAAAAGCUUGACAUUCAUCACAACAUGCCUACUGCUCCUGCCAAAUGAAGAAUUCCCAUUCAAAAAACAAAAAAGGCGUAACUUGACUUUCUCAUUACGACUGUAUUUAUUUGCGACCUUUAGUAGUCAAUUUCGCCGAAUAUUUACUGUUUUAAUAAAUUGUUUAAAUCUUGAAAA